This 913-nucleotide ribosomal RNA is filed under the name Paraconiothyrium yunnanensis. Its description in RNAcentral is "Paraconiothyrium sp. LL-2022a partial large subunit ribosomal RNA". It matches the Rfam family "Eukaryotic large subunit ribosomal RNA", at positions 36 to 970 of the family's 3401-position model. The record is from RNAcentral. Lineage: Eukaryota; Fungi; Ascomycota; Dothideomycetes; Pleosporales; Didymosphaeriaceae.
UAGCAUAUCAAUAAGCGGAGGAAAAGAAACCAACAGGGAUUGCCCUAGUAACGGCGAGUGAAGCGGCAACAGCUCAAAUUUGAAAUCUGGCUCUCUUUGGGGGUCCGAGUUGUAAUUUGCAGAGGAUGCUUUGGCAUUGGCGGCGGUCUAAGUUCCUUGGAACAGGACAUCGCAGAGGGUGAGAAUCCCGUACGUGGGCGCCUGCCUUUGCCGUGUAAAGCUCCUUCGACGAGUCGAGUUGUUUGGGAAUGCAGCUCUAAAUGGGAGGUAAAUUUCUUCUAAAGCUAAAUACCGGCCAGAGACCGAUAGCGCACAAGUAGAGUGAUCGAAAGAUGAAAAGUACUUUGGAAAGAGAGUCAAAAAGCACGUGAAAUUGUUGAAAGGGAAGCGCUUGCAGCCAGACUUGCCCGCGGUUGCUCACCUAGGCUUUGGCCUGGGGCACUCUUCUGCGGGCAGGCCAGCAUCAGUUUGGGCGGUCGGAUAAAGGCCUCUGUCACGUAUCUUCCUUCGGGAUGACCUUAUAGGGGAGGCGUAAUGCGACCAGCCCGGACUGAGGUCCGCGCAUCUGCUAGGAUGCUGGCGUAAUGGCUGUAAGCGGCCCGUCUUGAAACACGGACCAAGGAGUCUAACAUCUAUGCGAGUGUUUGGGUGUCAAGCCCGGGCGCGUAAUGAAAGUGAACGGAGGUGGGAACCCUUUGGGUGCACCAUCGACCGAUCCUGAUGUCUUCGGAUGGAUUUGAGUAAGAGCAUAGCUGUUGGGACCCGAAAGAUGGUGAACUAUGCUUGAAUAGGGUGAAGCCAGAGGAAACUCUGGUGGAGGCUCGCAGCGGUUCUGACGUGCAAAUCGAUCGUCAAAUUUGGGCAUAGGGGCGAAAGACUAAUCGAACCAUCUAGUAGCUGGGUCCUGCGACUC